GAUGAAGAACGUAGCGAAAUGCGAUACUUGGUGUGAAUUGCAGAAUCCCGUGAACCAUCGAGUCUUUGAACGCAAGUUGCGCCCGAAGCCUCGGCUAAGGGCACGUCUGCCUGGGCGUCACGCAUCGCGUCUCCCCCAAACCGCCAAGGCGGAGGGGAAGGAAGAUGGCUUCCCGUGCCUCACCCGGGCGCGGUUGGCCUAAAUUUGGAGCCCGCGGCACUUAGCUCUCGCGGCGAUAGGUGGUGAACAAGGCCUUGGCCGUGCAAACACCCCGCGGCGAAGCUCUAUGUCACGUGCGCUCGUCGGACCCUUUGAAGUUGCCUUCGGUGACUUAAAACCUUUGCGACCCCAGGUCAGGCGGGGCUACCCGCUGAAUUUAAGCAUAUCAAUAAGCGGAGGA
Molecule: unclassified non-coding RNA, 400 nt
Filed under: soil metagenome
Description: partial contains 5.8S ribosomal RNA, internal transcribed spacer 2, and large subunit ribosomal RNA
Rfam family: 5.8S ribosomal RNA (bases 1-120)
Source: RNAcentral